UUUUUUUUUUCUACUUAUUCUCUUUAAGUUUAACUGCCAUGUUAAUCAGUCAGCAUGCGUCACUGUGCACCCUUGUUUCUGCGGCGCCAAAAUUCAAUUAGUCAGUCAUUUAUUUCUCAACCUUCCCUUCCCGUUCCUUCCUUCCUUCCAUCACCACUCUCCCACUCUCGUUCGCUUCUUCUGUCAUCAUUUUUCAUCCCUCUUCUCUCUCUCUUUCUCCCUCACCCUCUCCCUCCUUUCUCCUUAGAUGUAAGGCCCUGGCGAUAAUGGUUGUGGUGGUGGCGGCCAUAGCCAACGUUCACGUGGUACAAUUAUCUCCACGUGGCACAACAGAUGUCAAUUAUGGAAUCGGAAGAAGAGGGCGAGGUAAGUCUGUCUCUUCUCUCUCUCUCUCUCUCUCUCUCUCUCUCUCUCUCUCUCUCUCUCUCUCUCUCUCUCUCUCUCUCUCUCUCUCUCUGCAGGUUUAACUUUUUGAAAUUAAAUUUGUAACUGCA
Molecule: long non-coding RNA, 494 nt
Organism: Scylla paramamosain (green mud crab)
Lineage: Eukaryota; Metazoa; Arthropoda; Malacostraca; Decapoda; Portunidae
Exons: 2
Source: RefSeq, a predicted model, not a curated record